This 487-nucleotide ribosomal RNA is filed under the name uncultured bacterium. RNAcentral's name for it is "bacterial SSU rRNA". It matches the Rfam family "Bacterial small subunit ribosomal RNA", at positions 28 to 507 of the family's 1533-position model. The record is from RNAcentral.
GACGAACGCUGGCGGCGUGGAUUAGGCAUGCAAGUCGAACGGUAUCAUCCUUUCGGGGGUGAGAGAGUGGCGAACUGGUGAGUAACACGUAGGUUAUCUACCCUCAAGACGGGGACAACCCAGGGAAACUUGGGCUAAUACCGGAUGUGAGCAACUUUUAGUUGUUUGAAAGGUGGCGUAAGCUGUCGCUUGGGGAUGAGCCUGCGUCCUAUUAGUUAGUUGGUGAGGUAACGGCUCACCUAGGCAAUGAUAGGUAGGCGGCCUUAACGGGUGGUCGCCCACACUGGGAUUGAGAUACGGCCCAGACUCCUACGGGAGGCAGCAGUCGAGAAUAGUCUACAAUGGACGGAAGUCUGAUAGUGCGACGCCGCGUGAACGAAGAAUCCCUUCGGGGUGUAAAGUUCUUUUAUACGUGAGCAGUGCCCUUUAUAUGAAUAGUAUAGAGGGAGGGAUUUAAGCGUAUGAAUAAGCAACGGCUAACUCCGUG